Homo sapiens (human) is the source of this 122-nucleotide non-coding RNA. The record is from Rfam. NCBI's taxonomy places the organism in Eukaryota, Metazoa, Chordata, Mammalia, Primates, Hominidae.
GCCUACGGCCAUACCACCCUGAACGUGCCCGAUCUCGUCUGAUCUUGGAAACUAAGCAGAGUCGGGCCUGGUUAGCACUUGGAUGGAAAUAGUAAUCUGCUUGUUUUUUCUGUGUGUUUGCC